GCCAGCAACUUUAUCCCUCAAAAGAUCCAUCUGCAGAUCAGAAAACGUUUUGACAGGAAGUCAAAACAGGUUUAGUUCCAGUCAGAAAGUAAACACUGGAAACAAAAUCCCUUCUUCCUUGUGUUGCUGCUUUGUCUGAUUUAUUUCUCUCCUGCUCUCAGUCCUGUCUGCUUUGGUUUGAUCUGUCUCCUCCUCCCAGGACAGGAAGAAUCCAGGAGGUCUUCUCCUCUGGAGCAGAGUCCUGCAUCCUCCUUCUGCAUCCUGUCUCUGUGCCCCCACCAUCUCCCAGUAUCAGGAAGGAAGGCAUCAACCCUCACAAAGCUGUCUCCUUCUCCCUCCCUUCCUCUUUGAAUGCUCUGGUCCUAUUGGCUUAUAUUUUCUCUCAGGUGCAACUGAAGUUCCCUAAGGCAAUGAACUGAAAAAGAAUCUGCAACAUCUGGGC
This is a long non-coding RNA of Myiozetetes cayanensis, 442 nucleotides long. RefSeq lists it as uncharacterized. The record is from RefSeq and is a predicted model, not a curated record. The transcript is spliced from 3 exons. Lineage: Eukaryota; Metazoa; Chordata; Aves; Passeriformes; Tyrannidae.